This 21-nucleotide transfer RNA is filed under the name Ctenocephalides felis (cat flea). RNAcentral's name for it is "partial tRNA-Lys". RNAcentral also lists the same sequence under 2 other names. Lineage: Eukaryota; Metazoa; Arthropoda; Insecta; Siphonaptera; Pulicidae. The record is from RNAcentral.
GAUGACUGAAAGCAAGUACUG